UGGCGACCGGCGCACGGGUGAGUAACACGUAUCCAACCUGCCGAUAACUCGGGGAUAGCCUUUCGAAAGAAAGAUUAAUAUCCGAUAGCAUAUCAAGAUCGCAUGAUCUUGAUAUUAAAGAAUUUCGGUUAUCGAUGGGGAUGCGUUCCAUUAGUUAGUUGGCGGGGUAACGGCCCACCAAGACGACGAUGGAUAGGGGUUCUGAGAGGAAGGUCCCCCACAUUGAAACUGAGACACGGUCCAAACUCCUACGGGAGGCAGCAG
Molecule: ribosomal RNA, 264 nt
Filed under: uncultured bacterium
Lineage: Bacteria
Description: partial 16S ribosomal RNA
Rfam family: Bacterial small subunit ribosomal RNA
Source: RNAcentral